GCUUUGGUCAAAUGUAGUGCACCAAAUAGGGGAAUAGGAAUAGGGAAUAAGGGAAUAGGGAAUAAGGGAAUAGUGUGAGGGAACAAGGGAAUAAGAAAUAAGGGAAUAGGGAAUAAGGGAAUAGUGUGAGGGAAUAAGGGAAUAAUGUGAGGGAAUAAAGGAAUAUUGUGAGGGAAUAAGGGAAUAGUGUGAGGGAAUAAGGGAAUAGUGUGAGGGAAUAAGGGAAUAGUUUGAGGGAAUAAAGGAAUAUUGUGAGGGAAUAAGGGAAUAGUGUGAGGGAAUAAGGGAAUAGGGAAUAAGGGAAUAGGGAAUAAGGGAAUAGUAUGAGGGAAUAAGGGAAUAGGGAAUAAGGGAAUAGUGUGAGGGAAUAAGGGAAUAGUGUGAGGGAAUAAGGGAAUAGGGAAUAAGGGAAUAGGAAUAGGGAAUAAGGGAAUAGUGUAAGGGAAUAAGGGAAUAGGGAAUAAGGGAAUAAGGGAAUCAUGGAAUAGGGAAUAAGGGAAUAGUGUAAGGGAAUAAGGGAAUAGUGUAAGGGAAUAAGGGAAUAGGGAAUAAGGGAAUAAGGGAAUAGUGUGCCGUUUCAGUCUUUAUCCUGUCCAGUCUUCUAGAGGUUCCGUAGCAGCCAGGUGGGAGCAGAGACUCCUGCCUGAGUAAAGUAGUUCCACCACCAUGGCUUCUCCUGUCCCUCUGCUCCCAUCCCCGGUUCUCCUCCCAUCCCCGGUUCCCUGGGUUCCCUGGGUUCCCUCGGUUCU
Oncorhynchus tshawytscha (Chinook salmon) is the source of this 749-nucleotide long non-coding RNA. The record is from Ensembl. NCBI's taxonomy places the organism in Eukaryota, Metazoa, Chordata, Actinopteri, Salmoniformes, Salmonidae.